UCUGUUUUCUCAUAUCACAACUAUUAAACUCUGUAACUGUUUUAAAAUCACCAAUGGCCUCAUGGUAAAAACCCUGAGCAGUUUCUCCAGCAACUGAGUAAGAAAGGACUCCUGUAUCUUUGUAGUGUCUGGGUUUAUUGAUACACCAUCCAAAGCCUAAUUAAUAACUUCACCAUGCUCAAAGGAAUAUUUUUUAUAUUCACAAACCAAUCGGUGCCCUUCUUUGCGAGGCAUUGAAAAACCUCCCUGGUCUUUGUAGUUGAAUCUGUGCUUGAAAUUCACUACUGGAUUGAGGGACCCGUAUGUGUGGGGUACAGAGAUGGAGUAGUCAUUCAAAAAUCAUGUCAACAACUAUUAUUGAACAAAGAAUUAGUGCAUGCAAACUAUUACAUGAUUUUUUAAAGCACGUUUGUAAUCCUGAACUCAUUUAGGCUUGCCACAAGAAAGCGGUUGAAUAAUUACUGACUUAAGACAUUUCAACUUUUCAUUUUUGAUUAAUUUAGAAAAUCUACAAACAAAAUUCCACUUUGACAUUAUUGGGCAUUUGUGUGAUCUACAAUUUAAUCAAUUUUAAAUUCAGGCUGUAACAUCAAAAAAUGUGGAACAGUGACUGCCCAAUGCCACAAAAGCAAAGGAUGCAGAAGUCGUGUUGGCUGCAAGGCCCUUUAGUACAAUGCCUUUUAAAACAGAGCUUGGUAAAUACAAUGUUGUAGGACUGAUCUGGGCUGCAUUGUAUAUGUUUGUACACCUAAUCCCAUAUUGUGUGACAUAAAUACAUGACUGAGAAUUAUAGAGAGGUUUAUAACCACAUCAAUUCACGGGUCAUUUGUGUCAUAUGUAGCAAACGCAAAAUCUCUCUCUCUCUCUCGCUUUCUCAGCCUUUUCUCUCUUUCACUCAACAUGUUAUAUCAUGUUAUAUCUACCUGGCGUCUUGGCAACGCUGGUAGCAGGUGACACUGCAGACAAUACAAGUAUAACCACUUGAGAUACGAAAACAGGACGAAUGACUGUUAAUCAAACAAAUCUAGUUUCAUUCUCAGGUCACCUGCUAUGUCAUGUGCUUGCACAGCUCCAAUCUGGAUUUAACCGUGCAGAGAAAAGCACAAUAAACAGAGCCAUUUCAUUUUCUUUGAAAAACAAUAAGGAUUGUGGAAGAAAACAACUAAAACGGCAACCAUGUUUACAUCACGACACAAAUGUAAUCCAGGCUACCUGGCUACAGCACAAGUAUAACCACUUGAGAUAAGGAAACAGGAUGGAACGACCGUGACAGAAGCACGUUUUUUUUAUUCUCAGGUCACAGGCUGCGUUGUGUUUGCACAGCCUUCCUUUUAUUUUCUUAGCGACCUUUCAGAGCUCCUUUUGUUGUAGAAGAAUUUCUACCUUUCGGCACAUGGCGUCUACACCUGCACCGAGCGGUGUUGGUUUGUCUCUUCUGAUCACACUCUUCCUGCACGCACUGAGGUUUGAACCUACAGGGUUGGCCAAAGGGGUGGUGGGAGGAGGGGGAAGGGAAGGGUACGUCUUUGGGAAUGCUCUAGAUCUUUUGUUUUGCCCAGCAAGAUGGCUUAACAGGAUGCAAGUGGUUCUUAGUUGCUUUGGAGGAAAUGCCUCUGGGGUAUUGGGACUGGAUAAUUAGCCUUUGUGUGUUUCUGAGUGGUGUUUACCACUGUUUACCUUGUGAUGAUGUUUAUAUAAUGGGGAAGUUGGUCGCUUACUGUCACGUCUAAAUCUGUGUCAGACCUAUUAUUCAAGAUGUGUCUGGACUGGAGACAAGAGUUUAUGUUGUUGUUUCGAAACCAAUUACGUUUUUAACAUCAUAAAUUGGAUUAUCAUUGUUGUCAUUGUUAUUGAUAGCAAUACAAGCAAGCUAAUAAAAGACAACACAAUAGAAGUUGAACCUAUUGUAAAAAUACUAAACAACAUUCGUACAACACCUAUCGACUUCAGCAAGAGUUUUUAGCCUUUUGGGAAUGGUUUCAGAAUGACAGUCGCAGGUCCCAGGGUUUGAGUCCCAGUCAGGGUACCCAAGUGAUUAGAUAUAUUCAUGUCAGCAGUUGGACAGCACCAUUUAAAGCAUGUAAUGGCCAAGUUUUAGUCACAAUCCAAUUUUUCACAAUUGAUGUGCUAGCUGAGUAUACAUAACAUUAGGAACACCUUAUAUUGAGUUACAUCCCCAACUUUUGCCCUCAGAACAGUCUCAAUUUGUUGGGGCAUGGACUCUACAAGGGGUCGAAAGCGUUCCACAGUAAUGCUGGUCCAUGUUGACCCCAAUGCUUCCUACAGUUGUGGCUUGUGGCUAAUGAUGAUUGGAUGCAGUUGAGCAGAUUGGAUGGUCAUGGCUCUAUGUCCAUAUGUGAAAUUUCUUUUUAAUAGGCCGCGCUCCAAUAUGGGUGCCUGGAGCCUUAUAUGGAGUUCCUGCUUCAGGGCCUCGGUUCAAUAUGACUGUCGGUGCCCAUGUAUGGAGUUCCUGUUCCGGGCCAAAUUCCAAUACGAACGUCUGUGCCGCACACUUCAAAUCAAAUCAAAUCAAAUUUAUUUAUAUAGCCCUUGUACAUCAGCUGAUAUCUCAAAGUGCUGUACAGAAACCCAGCCUAAAACCCCAAACAGCAAGCAAUGCAGGUGUAGAAGCACGGUGGCUAGGAAAAACUCCCUAGAAAGGCCAAAACCUAGGAAGAAACCUAGAGAGGAACCAGGCUAUGUGGGGUGGCCAGUCCUCUUCUGGCUGUGCCGGGUGGAGAUUAUAACAGAACAUGGCCAAGAUGUUCAAAUGUUCAUAAAUGACCAGCAUGGUCGUAUAAUAAUAAGGCAGAACAGUUGAAACUGGAGCAGCAGCACGGUCAGAUGGACUGGGGACAGCAAGGAGUCAUCAUGUCAGGUAGUCCUGGUGCAUGGUCCUGGGGCUGAGGUCCUCUGAGAGAGAGAAAGAAAGAAAGAGAGAAUUAGAGAGAGCAUAUGUGGGGUGGUCAGUCCUCUUCUGGCUGUGCCGGGUGGAGAUUUUAACAGAACAUGGCCAAGAUGUUCAAAUGUUCAUAAAUGACCAGCAUGGUCGAAUAAUAAGGCAGAACAGUUGAAACUGGAGCAGCAGCACGGCCAGGUGGACUGGGGACAGCAAGAAGUCAUCAUGUCAGGUAGUCCUGGGGCGCAGGUCCUCCGAGAGAGAGAAAGAAAGAGAGGAGAGAAUUAGAGAACGCACACUUAGAUUCACACAGGACACCGAAUAGGACAGAAGUACUCCAGAUAACAAACUGACCCUAGCCCCCCGACACAAACUACUGCAGCAUAAAUACUGGAGGCUGAGACAGGAGGGGUCAGGAGACACUGUGGCCCCAUCCGAGGACAUCCCCGGACAGGGCCAAACAGGAAGGAUAUAACCCCACCCACUUUGCCAAAGCACAGCCCCCACACCACUAGAGGGAUAUCUUCAACCACCAACUUACCAUCCUGAGACAAGGCUGAGUAUAGCCCACAAAGAUCUCUGCCAUGGCACAACCCAAGGGGGGGCGCCAACCCAGACAGGAUGACCACAUCAGUGAAUCAACCCACUCAGGUGACGCACCCUUGAGUACUUGAGACAAGGCUGCGUUCCAAUAUGGAAGACAAUUCCCAUAUACGCAAUUUCCUGCUGUGAAUUAAACUGUUUGUCUGAAGCCUAAAGGGGUCUACAGAGGAUACACAAACAGGGAGCGUACCGUAGCUCCAUCAUCCACAUGUUUUUUUCCACCUGGAAUCUGAGACCCUAAUUAUCCAUGUACUCUUAUAAUCUCCACCCGGCACAGCAAGAAGAGGAAUGGCCACCCUUAAGAGCCUGGUUCCUCUAGGUUUCUUCCUAGAUUCCUGCCUUUCAAGGGAGUUUCAGCUAGCCACCGUGCUUCUACGUCUGCAUUGCUUGCUGUUUGGGGUUUUAGGCUGAGUUUCUGUAUUAGCACUUUGGGACAACUGCUGAUGUAAAAAGGUCUUUAUAAAUAUAUUAUAUUGUAAAAUGAUCAUGAUGUUUGUAUGUGGCUGCUAUGAUAGUGAACAGUGUUUGAUUGUGACCAGGGGUAUAUUCAUUCGACCGACCGACGGAAGCAAACGGAACGAAAUGUGGAUAAACAUACCUGAAGUUGUCCAAUAGACACUAUCGUUUGCAACUGUUGGACUAAUGAUUACACCCCUGAUCAGGGUACAUUCUGAUGUCUGGAAGUUCCUGGGGAAGGGCUGGUUCCUCAACAACCAAGAUAGCCCUAGGACCAUGCCUCAGGACUACCUGACCUGAUGACUCCUGGCCGUCCCCAGUCCACCUGGUUGUGCUGCUGCUGCUCCAGUUUCAACUGUUCUGCCUGCGGCUACGGAACCCUGACCUGUUCACCAGACGUGCUAGCUUGUCCCGGACCUGCUGUAUUCAAAUCUCUCUCUCUCUUUCUCUCUCUCUUUCUUUCUUUCUUUCUUUCUUUCUUUUUUUCUUUCUCUCUCUCUCUCUUUCAACCACACCUGUUGUCUAAACCUCUGAAUGUUUGGCUAUGAAAACCCAAAUUACAUUUACUCCUGAGGUACUGACCUGUUGCACCCUCUGCUACUAUGAUUUUUAUUUGACCCUGCUGGUCAUCUAUGAAUGUUUGAACAUCUUGAAGAACAAUCUGGCCUUAAUAGCUGUGUACUCUUAUAAUCUCCAUGCGGCAUAGCCAGAAGAGUACUGGCCACCCCUAAGAGUCUGGUUCCUCUCUAGGGUUCUUCCUAGGUUCCUACCUUUCAAGGGAGUUUUUCCUAGCACGCCGUGCUUCUACGUCUGCAUUGCUUGCUGUUUGGGGUUUAAGGCUGAGUUUCUGUAUUAGCACUUUGGGACAACUGCUGAUGUAAAAAGGUCUUUAUGAGUAAAUUAUAUUGGAAAAUGAUCAUGAUGUUUGUAUGUGGCUGCUAUGAACGUGAACAGUGUUUGCUUGUGAUCAGGGUUGUAUUCAGUCAAACUAUUCUUUUCUUAAACGGAAACAAACAGAACGAAACAGCACGCAACUGUUGGACUAAUGAUUACACCCCUGAUCAGGUAUAGAUGUGUAACGCUCGAAGAGGAUGGGUGUGGAGUCAGGCAAAGAGAGCAGAAGUAUCUGGGGCACAGAGAGCAGAAGUAUCUGGGGAAAAACGCUUUAAUGUCCAAAACAGGAACACGUACAAUGGGGAAACAUACCAAACCCAAGUGCAACUGGUAAUACAGGACAGCGAAAACCCAACAAUAUUCAGAGUACACCUCUAACAUAAACAGUAACAAGCCCGUACAAACACAGGCGGACUAACCAAACUUAAAUAACCCCAACCCCAAAACCCCAACAAGGAACAGGUGAAAACAAUUAGACAAAACCAAACGAAAAGGGAAAAGAGGGAUCGGUGGCAGCCAGUAGACCGGAGACGAUGACCACCGAGCGCCGCCCGAACGGGAAGGGGAACCACCUUCGGUGAUAUUCGUGACAAGAUGCAGACUAGACGGUGCAAGGCAGUAUUGAAUGUUUCACUGUCUGUCACCUUGAUUACUAAAAUGUCUAUCUCGACCUGUGAAUCUACGUUGUAAACUUUAAUGUUGUUGUAGGUUGUAGCAAUCUCAUAAUGUGUAUUGGAAAAACCUGAGAAUCAUGUAGUAGACAAAACCUAUCAAUGUUACAUUGAUCUCUCUCUCUCUCGCUCUCUCGCUCUCUCUGUAUCUCUCUCUCUCUACCACACCUGUUGUCUAAUCCUCUGAAUGCUCAGCUAUGAAAACCCAAAUGAAAUAUACUCCUGAGGUACUGACCUGAUGCACAGGCUACAACCACUGUGAUUAUUAUUUGACCUUGCUGGUCAUCUCUCUCUCGCUUUUUCUCUCUCACUCUCUCUGAAAUUCAAUAGGCAGUAAUGACAAGGUCAAUGUUGUCAACGUGAAGUGAUAAACAUAAACAUGACGAAAACAGCAAGUACAAUAGGAAUAGUAAAUAUAUUAUAUCAUAUAAUAUAUAUAGAAGAAAUAGAACAAAUCAAUAUCCAAUACAGAAAUGCAAUAAUGUUCAACGUUCAGAAUGUAAUUCAACAAAGAAAAAUUGCUGGUGGUACUGUUGUUGUGUAUUACCUGUAAUACUGUAUAUAGAUUAAAUAGUACAUAGAGACAUAUAAAAGUAAUCUCAAUAGUUGUCUGUCUCUCAUUUUCUGGAAAGUUGCAGAACUAACAUUACUGGUUGAUCAUUGUAACAAUAAAACCACAGUAACCUGAAUAACAUCAACUUGCUACCAGGAAGCUACUACUGUCUUGAAUUCUUUGAAUAAGACAAAUAUUUUACCUGCAGAAGGUGUGUGACUGCGUAGGCCAUUCAAAGAUUGGUCUACGCAGACUCACAACGCUCUGACAACCAACAGUUGACAUAUAAAAGCUUAAAGCAUUCUCUGGAGUCACGCAGGCUUCAGAAACAAAUCACAAUCCUUGACUCUUUCCACAUUUUGUUGUGUUACAGCAUGAAUUGUAAAUGGAUUAAAUUGAGAUUUGUUGUCACUGGCCUACACACAAUACCCCAUAAUGUCAAAGUGGAAUUACAGUUUUUCUCAAUUGCUAAAACACAAUUUCUGAAUUUUUGGUGGUCUU
Long non-coding RNA from Oncorhynchus tshawytscha (Chinook salmon), 6577 nucleotides. Lineage: Eukaryota; Metazoa; Chordata; Actinopteri; Salmoniformes; Salmonidae. The record is from Ensembl.